Molecule: ribosomal RNA, 832 nt
Filed under: Cortinarius sp. 'salmoneobasis 2' FS-2012
Lineage: Eukaryota; Fungi; Basidiomycota; Agaricomycetes; Agaricales; Cortinariaceae
Description: eukaryotic LSU rRNA
Rfam family: Eukaryotic large subunit ribosomal RNA
Source: RNAcentral
CCCCUAGUAACUGCGAGUGAAGCGGGAAAAGCUCAAAUUUAAAAUCUGGCAGUCUUUGGCUGUCCGAGUUGUAAUCUAGAGAAGUGUUAUCUGCGCUGGACCGUGUACAAGUCUCCUGGAAUGGAGCGUCAUAGAGGGUGAGAAUCCCGUCUUUGACACGGACUACCAGGGCUUUGUGAUGCGCUCUCAAAGAGUCGAGUUGUUUGGGAAUGCAGCUCAAAAUGGGUGGUAAAUUCCAUCUAAAGCUAAAUAUUGGCGAGAGACCGAUAGCGAACAAGUACCGUGAGGGAAAGAUGAAAAGAACUUUGGAAAGAGAGUUAAACAGUACGUGAAAUUGCUGAAAGGGAAACGCUUGAAGUCAGUCGCGUUGUCCAGGGAUCAACCUUGCUUUUGCUUGGUGCAUUUCCUGGUUGAYGGGUCAGCGUCAAUUUUGAUUAUUGGAAAAAGAUCAAGGGAAUGUGGCAUCUUUGGAUGUGUUAUAGCCCUUGGUUGCAUACAAUAGUUGGGAUUGAGGAACUCAGCACGCCGCAAGGCCAGGUUUUUAACCAUGUACGUGCUUAGGAUGCUGGCAUAAUGGCUUUAAUCGACCCGUCUUGAAACACGGACCAAGGAGUCUAACAUGCCUGCGAGUGUUUGGGUGGAAAACCCGAGCGCGCAAUGAAAGUGAAAGUUGAGAUCCCUGUCGUGGGGAGCAUCGACGCCCGGACCAGACCUUUUGUGACGGUUCCGCGGUAGAGCAUGUAUGUUGGGACCCGAAAGAUGGUGAACUAUGCCUGAAUAGGGUGAAGCCAGAGGAAACUCUGGUGGAGGCUCGUAGCGAUUCUGACGUGCA